Molecule: ribosomal RNA, 253 nt
Filed under: uncultured bacterium
Lineage: Bacteria
Description: partial 16S ribosomal RNA
Rfam family: Bacterial small subunit ribosomal RNA
Source: RNAcentral
UACAGAGGUCCCAAGCGUUGUUCGGAUUUACUGGGCGUAAAGGGUGUGUAGGUGGUCGGGUAAGUCUCAUGUGAAAUCCCGCAGCUUAACUGCGGAACGGCAUGGGAUACUAUUCGGCUCGAGGAUUGGAGGGGGGACUGGAAUUCCCGGUGUAGCAGUGAAAUGCGUAGAUAUCGGGAGGAACACCAGUGGCGAAGGCGAGUCCCUGGACCAACACUGACACUGAUGAGCGAAAGCCAGGGGAGCAAACGGG